GCUCCUGGCUAAGGAUGAACGCUAGCUACAGGCUUAACACAUGCAAGUCGAGGGGCAUCAGGAAGAAAGCUUGCUUUCUUUGCUGGCGACCGGCGCACGGGUGAGUAACACGUAUCCAACCUGCCCUUUACUCGGGGAUAGCCUUUCGAAAGAAAGAUUAAUACCCGAUAGCAUAAUGAUUCCGCAUGGUUUCAUUAUUAAAGGAUUCCGGUAAAGGAUGGGGAUGCGUUCCAUUAGGUUGUUGGUGAGGUAACCGG
This 257-nucleotide ribosomal RNA is filed under the name uncultured bacterium. Its description in RNAcentral is "partial 16S ribosomal RNA". It matches the Rfam family "Bacterial small subunit ribosomal RNA", at positions 15 to 263 of the family's 1533-position model. The record is from RNAcentral.